AUACGGAGGGUGCAAGCGUUAUCCGGAAUCAUUGGGUUUAAAGGGUCCGUAGGCGGGAAUCUAAGUCAGUGGUGAAAUCUUGCAGCUCAACUGUAAAAUUGCCAUUGAUACUGGAUUUCUUGAAUUAGUGUGAAGUGGUUAGAAUGUGUAGUGUAGCGGUGAAAUGCAUAGAUAUUACACAGAAUACCAAUUGCGAAGGCAGAUCACUAACACUAUAUUGACGCUAAGGGACGAAAGCGUGGGGAGCGAACAGGAUUAGAAACCCGGGUAGUCC
Molecule: ribosomal RNA, 274 nt
Filed under: uncultured bacterium
Lineage: Bacteria
Description: partial 16S ribosomal RNA
Rfam family: Bacterial small subunit ribosomal RNA
Source: RNAcentral